CUGAUGUGGACUUAUAUAAAGGAAGGAAGUGAGAGCUGAGUGGUUGGCUGAGUGGAGAUCUCUAUGAUAAGAUUGGGAGAACAGUGUGAUCUUUAUGUAAAGGAAGGAAGUGAGAGCUGAGUGGUUGGCUGAGUCCCUCAAUACAGCAGGUAUAGAUCUACCAGCGCUGAGUCCCUCAAUACAGCAGGUAUAGAUCUACCAGAGCUGAGUCCCUCAAUACAGCAGGUAUAGAUCUACCAGCGCUGAGUCCCUCAAUACAGCAGGUGUAGAUCUACCAGCACUGAGUCCCUCAAUACAGCAGGUGUAGAUCUACCAGCACUGAGUCCCUCAAUACAGCAGGUGUAGAUCUACCAGCACUGAGUCCCUCAAUACAGCAGGUAUAGAUCUACCAGCACUGAGUCCCUCAAUACAGC
Molecule: long non-coding RNA, 413 nt
Organism: Oncorhynchus tshawytscha (Chinook salmon)
Lineage: Eukaryota; Metazoa; Chordata; Actinopteri; Salmoniformes; Salmonidae
Source: Ensembl